RNAcentral lists this ribosomal RNA (1902 nucleotides) under Triticum aestivum (bread wheat). RNAcentral's name for it is "partial small subunit ribosomal RNA". Lineage: Eukaryota; Viridiplantae; Streptophyta; Magnoliopsida; Poales; Poaceae. The record is from RNAcentral.
AUGGGCCUGGGCCUCGCCUCGUCUCCUCCUGGAGGCCUGGUCGAUCCUGCACAGGGGCCCGAGUCCUCCUCGUCUCUAGGGAAAGUGUGCACCCCUACCCUGCAUUCCUCCCCCCACCCCGCGCCCUCCCAUCCUGCGCCGCCCCCUGUUCCCCCUCCCGUGCCUGCGCCGUCCUUGCUCGUCGCUCGGACCCCGAUGCCACACGACGCGGGUGACAGUGCCCCUCGCCCGAAGCGCCGUGCCGACGAGCCGGCGGACCGUCGCCCGACCGACUCCUGGCGCCCCUCCCUGGAGGCCUCGCGGAGGGAAUCCGAGCUCCGCUCCGAGUUCGUGUCACGAGGCUUUGCCCCGACCUCGGACCCCUCAGGGCGGGAGGACAGGCCGCGUAACCGCUCGCCGGACCACUGGCGGAGCCGUGGGCGUGAGCGGGACCGCCGUUCCCCCCCUCGUCGCUCCCCUCCCCACCGGUCACAGUCUCCGGCUCGCUCUGGUCGCGCGGAGCAGUCCCCGCCUCGCCGGUACAACCCGCCACAGCGUCAUAUGCAGUUCCCUCCCCCGGGUCCCGGUGCUCCCAACCCCCGGAGCGCUUUCGCGAAGAAGAAGAAGAAGAAGGCCGGUCAGCGUUUUGGCGGUGGGGCUGGACAAGCCUCUUCUGUCACCAACCCGACGCCGGCACCCCCGGCCCCUCCGUCGAAGUCCAUUUCCGGCACCAUUUCCUGCUUCAAUUGUGGCAAAGAGGGUCACUGCCAGGUCGAUUGCAAGGACCCCCUGGCUUGUUUCAAGUGCAAGGGCACGGACCACCCCGUGAUUCUUUGCCCGCUUCAGCCGGAGGAGGGGGAGCUGAUGCUUUACGGCCAUGCUCUGGACGAUCUUGGAUUCUUCCAGAUGGAUCUGCCCGCGGUCGCGGCCGUGCCGUCCCUGACCGCUCUCAUCUCGGUCUUGGAAGGCCGGUCGGCUUCCCCGGCUAUCAUCACGGAGGAGCUCCGUCACCUCUUCUGCCCUGACUGGGACUGGGAGGUCGCUUCGAUCUCCGAUCACGAGUUUACCGCGGUGUUUCCGGAUCCUAUCAGCUUGCGCUACGGCACCCACAGUGAUCAGCUCACUUUAGCUCUCAACAAGCUCAUCGUCAGCAUCUCUAUGUCGUUGGUGGACCCUAUAGCGGUGGCCUUUCUCUCGGAGGUAUGGAUUCAAAUCCGUGGGCUACCGCCGAUUGCCAAGAAGGAGCGCACCAUUCGGAACAUGUCCAGGCUCCUUGGCAAGAUCGUGGAGGUUGAUGGCUCCUCUCUCGUCCGCGGACCGGCUGUUCAUGUCAAGAUCAAGACCCCCGACCCGACUAAGCUGCAGACAACAGUCCGUAUGUUCUUCGGAGAUGCUGGAUACGACCUCAAGAUCUCGGUGGAUGGGGGCGUUCCGGGCUCCUCCCAACCAGCGACGGAUGAUGCGGCUCCCGGGACCGAUGGCGACUUGGGUGGUGGCUCACGCUCCCCUGGUGGCGGUCGGUCACCGCGUCAGCGCAGCCGCUCCCCAAGCUCCAGCGGGGAUGAUGAUGACUCCCCAGAGCCACAUGCGCCGCCUCUGCCGGCGAACAAGACAACGACCGAAGAGCUCUCUAUGGCCCAUGAUGCUACUGCCCAAGAUCCGAUGGAUGAUGCUGAUGCUCGUGCCCUCAACGCCAUGCUCGAGGUUGAUUCACUGCUUCGCCCCAGCGCGGCCCUCUCCUUGCUCCUUGGCACUCCGAUGGCCGCUUCGGAGUCGGAGACGGUCAGCGGUGCGAGCGACGUCAGCCCGGAGGUAUGCCCCCUCCUCCCCGCGUCUGGAUUCACCCACCCUCGCCCAGGCACCAUCGCCACCAUCUUCGCCAUGGGCUGGGGCGGGGGAGGUCUCUCCUGUGACCGGGACUAG